This 1229-nucleotide long non-coding RNA is filed under the name Pan troglodytes (chimpanzee). RNAcentral describes it as "long non-coding RNA NONPTRT007662". The record is from RNAcentral. Lineage: Eukaryota; Metazoa; Chordata; Mammalia; Primates; Hominidae.
AAGAAGUCUUGGAAUUGUCUGUUUCCUCUAAGUGUCUAGAUGAACUUUUUUCUAUAUAUGAAUUUUUCUGUAUACAGAAUUAGGGCAUUAUGUUUAAGUGGUGAUUUGCGGAUAUGUGUCUGAUCUGCUCACUGGACCCUUACUUUUUCAGCAGCAGCUCGCUGGCCGUCAGCUCAUGGGUCAGGGGAGGUAAGAUGCUGGACCCCAGCUUGUCGGUGCGGCUGUCGUCCGGGCUGACUGCCAUGUGGUUCUUGCCUGCAGAGUUGUCCUGCGAGCCGAAGGACAGAUGCUCGAAGCUCACGGCCUUGCUGUAGGAGGGUGGGGCCUCCACAUCCCCGUCCAAGGUGGAGAACUGUGUCAGCUCUUCCUCUGGGGGCUUGUUGGAUGCCACGAUGGAGAGAACCCACUGCCUAAAACCCUCAUCUCCUGGUACCCAACGGAGCAGUGACUGGCGAGGGAAGAUGGCAGAUCCAGGCCUAGGAUGCUGCUGGAUGUCACAAUGUCACCAUGUCCUGGACAAAAUGAGGAGACAAUGACAAGAUAAAUUAGAAAAGCAUCGGACGAACACAGUGAGGACUGGGAUGCUGACAUUAACUGGCUGUUUGGUUUUAGAUGAAUCAGUGCCCCUUUCUGGGGCCCCAAUUUUAUGUUUCUGAGAUGAGGGGACUUUGCAUUUCUGUAUUUCAUUUAAUAUUUGCAGAGAUGCAACCCCAUAGCCUGUGCAGUCUCCUGCAGCUUUGCUCAGGUUUUCUUCAUGGGAACUGACGGUUCUAAUUCAAAGCCCUGUUUAUCUUGUUAACUCUUGGAUGGAGUUCUCAGAACCUACAUAAUCCCACACAGUUGGGUUCCCGGUAGGGCAACUAAUACGUCACACAAUCCAGGACAGUUUAAAAGUGAAUAGGAAGGGGAGGAAAUGUAUAAAAAUAGGCCCUGACAGUAGGCCCAAGGGGACGGCUGCCAUCACCUGCCUGACGGGCCCCCCCACUGCCAGCACCACAGGAACACACAGCAACCCCUCAGAGGACAUAUUUAAAAUAUUAACCACCUCCUACCUGGGAAUGCCCCUCAGAAUGUUAAUUAAUGUUUUCUGUGUUAUCUGAUUAUAUAAAGCAACCAUUAAAAAAUGUUUGCCAUUUUACAUCUGGAUUUGAAAGAAACCGUGACUAUUCUCGUAAGUCAAAGGGACUACAAAUCCACUUGUUAGGAUCCCACCCAGACUCUGUCUACUG